GUGCUCACAGUGGCAGUACAUAUACUAAAAUUGGAAUGGUACAGAGAAGAUCAGCAGGCCCCCAUGCAAGGAUGACACACAAAUUCAUGAAGUGUUCCAUAUUUUU
Monodelphis domestica (gray short-tailed opossum) is the source of this 106-nucleotide small nuclear RNA. Lineage: Eukaryota; Metazoa; Chordata; Mammalia; Didelphimorphia; Didelphidae. The record is from Ensembl.